RNAcentral lists this ribosomal RNA (253 nucleotides) under uncultured bacterium. Its description in RNAcentral is "partial 16S ribosomal RNA". It matches the Rfam family "Bacterial small subunit ribosomal RNA", at positions 524 to 776 of the family's 1533-position model. The record is from RNAcentral.
UACAGAGGGUGCUAGCGUUAAUCGGAAUUACUGGGCGUAAAGGGUGUGUAGGUGGCGCGCUAAGUCGGGUGUGAAAUUUCGGAGCUUAACUCCGAAACUGCAUUCGAUACUGGCGUGCUUGAGGACUGGAGAGGAGACUGGAAUUCAUGGUGUAGCAGUGAAAUGCGUAGAGAUCAUGAGGAAGACCAGUGGCGAAGGCGGGUCUCUGGACAGUUCCUGACACUGAGACACGAAGGCCAGGGGAGCAAACGGG